Molecule: long non-coding RNA, 486 nt
Filed under: Nicotiana benthamiana
Lineage: Eukaryota; Viridiplantae; Streptophyta; Magnoliopsida; Solanales; Solanaceae
Description: long non-coding RNA (NBEN_LNC031320)
Source: RNAcentral
UUUAAACCCUACCCUUCUUUGCUACUCACUAUCUAAGGAGCAAAUCCGAAGUCGGUUCUCAAGGCCCAGAAGCUCGGGGAUUGAAUACCCCUAUGUUCCAAGUGACUAGCUUGGCUGGUGAUGCGUUCACCCACUUGCACGCUUCCUUGCAAGCACGAAAUCCUUAGUUCGCCCGCUACCACACGGGCCGGUGUACUCUUAUCGCUAACCCCGAGAGAGGCUAUACUCUAACAGCCAACCGACUCAUUAUCCCAGGCCGCAAGGAUUAAGAAAUAGCAAUGUAUCAGGGGCUGAGCGUACCUUCCGCUCAGGAACAAGAAAUGGAGCUAUUAAGUUAAGGUGCCGCUUUCCUUUUUCUAGCUCUUCUUUGGGUUCCCUAUCGAUGCGUGUAUGCCUUCGUCGAAGAAAGAAGGGGAAUCACAAGAAAUUUUCAUAGACCUACAUCGAUGAAUCAUUCGAGAACGAAUUUAGCGAGACUAAUCUAAU